CCUACGGUGCGCUGCAGUGGGGAAUAUUGGACAAUGGGCGAAAGCCUGAUCCAGCCAUGCCGCGUGUGUGAAGAAGGCCUUCGGGUUGUAAAGCACUUUCAGUGGGGAAGAAAGCCUUGGGGCUAAUACCCUCGAGGAAGGACAUCACCCACAGAAGAAGCACCGGCUAACUCCGUGCCAGCAGCCGCGGUAAUACGGAGGGUGCGAGCGUUAAUCGGAAUUACUGGGCGUAAAGCGCGCGUAGCGGUCUGAUAAGCCGGUUGUGAAAGCCCCGGGCUCAACCUGGGAACGGCAUCCGGAACUGUCAGGCUAGAGUGCAGGAGAGGAAGGUAGAAUUCCCGGUGUAGCGGUGAAAUGCGUAGAGAUCGGGAGGAAUACCAGUGGCGAAGGCGGCCUUCUGGACUGACACUGACGCUGAGGUGCGAAAGCGUGGGUAGCAAACAGGAUUAGAUACCCUAGUAGUC
RNAcentral lists this ribosomal RNA (464 nucleotides) under Vreelandella stevensii. RNAcentral describes it as "partial 16S ribosomal RNA". It matches the Rfam family "Bacterial small subunit ribosomal RNA", at positions 338 to 795 of the family's 1533-position model. The record is from RNAcentral. Lineage: Bacteria; Pseudomonadati; Pseudomonadota; Gammaproteobacteria; Oceanospirillales; Halomonadaceae.